This 379-nucleotide RNase P RNA is filed under the name Pelagibacterium sp. H642. RNAcentral's name for it is "RNase P RNA component class A". It matches the Rfam family "Bacterial RNase P class A". Rfam says of the family: Ribonuclease P (RNase P) is a ubiquitous endoribonuclease, found in archaea, bacteria and eukarya as well as chloroplasts and mitochondria. Its best characterised activity is the generation of mature 5'-ends of tRNAs by cleaving the 5'-leader elements of precursor-tRNAs. RNAcentral also lists the same sequence under 1 other name. Lineage: Bacteria; Pseudomonadati; Pseudomonadota; Alphaproteobacteria; Hyphomicrobiales; Devosiaceae. The record is from RNAcentral.
CCAGUUGACCGGGCGGCCGCCAAGCAUGGCUUGGAGGAAAGUCCGGGCUCCAUGAGAACACGGUGCCGGGUAACGCCCGGCGGGGGCGACCCCAGGGAAAGUGCCACAGAAAGCAAACCGCCCCGGCCUCGGCCAGGGUAAGGGUGAAAGGGUGCGGUAAGAGCGCACCGGGCGCCUGGCAACAGGAGCCGCACGGUAAACCCCACCGGGAGCAAGACCGAAUAGGGACGAUGGGAGCUUCGGCUCCAGCCGCGUUUUCACGGCCUGUCGUCCGGGUUGGUUGCAUGAGGGUCCUGGCAACAGGGCUCGCAGAUGAAUGGUCGCCGCGUCCGCCUUCGGGUGGGCCCUACAGAACCCGGCUUACAGGUCAACUGGUGUC